This 460-nucleotide ribosomal RNA is filed under the name uncultured bacterium. Its description in RNAcentral is "partial 16S ribosomal RNA". It matches the Rfam family "Bacterial small subunit ribosomal RNA", at positions 338 to 795 of the family's 1533-position model. The record is from RNAcentral.
CCUACGGGAGGCAGCAGUGAGGAAUAUUGGUCAAUGGGCGUAAGCCUGAACCAGCCAAGUCGCGUGAGGGAUGAAGGUUCUAUGGAUCGUAAACCUCUUUUAUAAGGGAAUAAAGUGUGGGACGUGUCCUAUUUUAUAUGUACCUUAUGAAUAAGGAUCGGCUAACUCCGUGCCAGCAGCCGCGAUAAUACGGAGGAUCCGAGCGUUAUCCGGAUUUAGUGGGUGUAAAGGGUGCGUAGGCGGCCUUGUAAGUCAGCGGUGAAAGUCUGUGGCUCAACCAUCGAAUUGCCGUUGAAACUGGGUGGCCUGAGUAUGUUAGAGGCAGGCGGAAUGCGUGGUGUAGCGGUGAAAUGCUUAGAUAUCACGCAGAACCCCGAUUGCGAAGGCAGCCUGCCAAGCCGUGACUGACGCUGAGGCACGAAAGCGUGGGGAUCAAACAGGAUUAGAUACCCUUGUAGUC